Molecule: long non-coding RNA, 2093 nt
Organism: Cinclus cinclus
Lineage: Eukaryota; Metazoa; Chordata; Aves; Passeriformes; Cinclidae
Exons: 3
Source: RefSeq, a predicted model, not a curated record
GCUGUUUAUUCCCAGUUCCGUCCCAGUGCUCCCAGUAAGAGCGGUCCUAGCACGGAAAGCGCUCCCAAUUCCUUCCGGGUUCUCUCAGGAUCGCUUCGAGUGCUCCCAGUAUUGGUUCCAGCACUGUGCAGGGCACGGCCACUUUGGAACCCCCCAGGGCAGAGCACGGCUGCUUUUCAGUGUCGGCACCGACCUGGGCCGGGCUGGGAGCGGAGGAGGGGGAGGAAGGAAAGAGGAGCGGGAAGAACAAGAAGGGGAAAGUCAGGAACAUGAGGAAGAGGAGCUGCAAGAGAAAGAGCAGCAGCAGAACCACUCGGCUCCCCCGCCCGCCCGCUCAGGCUGCAGUUCCCCCAACUCUGGCAGCAUCACCCUGCCCCCCCGGAACCCACAGGAUUUCCCAUUCCCAAAUCAUGGUCAGAUGGAGGAGGAGGCCGUGAGGAAGAUGGCCCAGAAGCCCUAUGCAGACAAGGAGCUGAGGAUGGAGACCAGGGAGGACAAAUCCCCACAGCUGAACCUUAUGGAAAAGGCAUUUUAAACCAGCUCCAUGGUGCAGGAAUCCAAGGAGGAGGAAAAGCCCCAGAGAUCCCUCAUGAGGGGUUACAAAUGCAGAUCACGGUGAUCCAAAGCAGAAAGACCCACUCCGGGCCAGGGAGGUGGCCAGAGAUGCUGCUGGAGCUUAGAGCUGAGAGUCCAUGAGCAGCUUCAUGAUGGGGAGAAGCCCCACAAGUGCUCAGAAUGUGGGAAGAGCUUCAGCAAGUGAUCCUACCUGAUCCAACACUGGAGAAUCCACAUGAGGGAACAGCCCUAUGAGUGUGGGGAGUGUGGGAAGGGCUUCAAGACAAGCUCUGACCUGACUGCCCACCAGAUGAGCCACACAAAGCAGAGGCGUGCCGAUUGUGAGGAAUGCAGGAAGACAUUUAAGACUAGCUCCAGUCUCCUCAGGCAUCAGCAGAUUCAGAGGAGAGGCCCUUCCACUGACCCAACAAUGGGAAUGGCUUCAACCAAAACUCCACUGUCGUCACCCACCAGCGCAUAUAUACUAGGACGAGGCCCUACGAGUGUCCCAAAUGUGUGAAGUCCUGUUCCAGAAGCUCUCACUUUACCCUACACCAAUGAAGGCACCACUAAGGGAAGCCCUGCAAAUCAAGUGCAGGAAGAGCUUCAUGUGCUGCUCCAGCUCCAUCCCCCGUGGCAGGAUCUGUGCUGGAUGUUCCUGUGGCCCCCAGUGGGCAGAGCAUUGCUGGUCCAUGGUGCCCGUGAUCUAUGUUAGAAAUACACCUGGCUGGGUGGCUCCACAUCCUCCUGGCUCCCCAUGGGCACCUGGACAUAUCCACAGAUCAACAUCAGAAAUCCAUUGUGAAGAGCACGUUUGUCGACUUCUGACCCGAGAAAAAUCUCACUCUUUGCAUCUUCUGGUGGUAUCAAGCAACACUGAAUGGCCUUGGAGGUCUUCUCCAAUAGAAAUCCAUCAUUUUAAUCCUUUCUGGCUCAUGGGCAUCUUCCACAGCCAAAUGGGAACAUACUGGGGCAAACCCCACAAUUUUGGAGAUGGUGGGGUGGAAACCCCUUCAAAAAGGGUUCUUCCCACCCAGCCAAGCAUGUGGAUGCUUUGCCAGCAGGGACACAUAAAUUCUUUUGUUUUGGCCUUGAAACGGUUUCUGUUCAUUCCUUUGAAAGCCCUGUAACUGGGGUUAAAAAUAACGACAAGGAACUAAGACAUGGGUGGGGCCAUGGGGGGAGAUGGAUGAGGAUGUGAGGAACAUGGAUGGGGACAUUGCGAAGUGCUGUCCAAUGCAGGUACUGCCACCACAUCCCCACUAUCACCACCACAGUGCACCAGCCAGAUGUCAUCACCCAGCAGGGCAGGAGGUGGAACUUGUUCGGCUGUUGACAAGUGGCCCGGAGGUGAGUGACAGUCACCAGGGCGUCCUAGGGACUCCACGCUCAGAGGACCCCAAUGGCCCAAGGUACAGCACAAGGGUCAGUGCCACCCACAGUGUCAUGUGGCCCCAUGCUACAUGUCACCAGGGGUGUCCUGGUGACAUUGUCCCCCUGCUAUCUGUCCUGGUGGCAUCAUGUCCUUUCCCCUCUGU